This 433-nucleotide ribosomal RNA is filed under the name uncultured bacterium. RNAcentral describes it as "partial 16S ribosomal RNA". It matches the Rfam family "Bacterial small subunit ribosomal RNA", at positions 29 to 507 of the family's 1533-position model. The record is from RNAcentral.
AACGAACGCUGGCGGCAUGCCUAACACAUGCAAGUCGAACGAGACCUUCGGGUCUAGUGGCGCACGGGUGCGUAACGCGUGGGAACCUGCCCUUAGGUUCGGAAUAACUCCCCGAAAGGGGUGCUAAUACCGGAUAAUGUCUUCGGACCAAAGGUUUAUCGCCUUUGGAUGGGCCCGCGUUGGAUUAGCUAGUUGGUAGGGUAAAAGCCUACCAAGGCGACGAUCCAUAGCUGGUCUGAGAGGAUGAUCAGCCACACUGGGACUGAGACACGGCCCAGACUCCUACGGGAGGCAGCAGUGGGGAAUAUUGGACAAUGGGCGAAAGCCUGAUCCAGCAAUGCCGCGUGAGUGAUGAAGGCCUUAGGGUUGUAAAGCUCUUUUACCCGGGAUGAUAAUGACAGUACCGGGAGAAUAAGCUCGGGCUAACUCCGUG